AGCAGCAGCCACGGUAAUACAGAGGGUGCGAGCGUUAAUCGGAUUUACUGGGCGUAAAGCGUGCGUAGGCGGCUUCUUAAGUCGGAUGUGAAAUCCCUGAGCUUAACUUAGGAAUUGCAUUCGAUACUGGGAAGCUAGAGUAUGGGAGAGGAUGGUAGAAUUCCAGGUGUAGCGGUGAAAUACGUAGAGAUCUGGAGGAAUACCGAUGGCGAAGGCAGCCAUCUGGCCUAAUACUGACGCUGAGGUACGAAAGCAUGGGGAGCAAACAGGAUUAGAUACCCGUGUAGUCCCUGUCUCUUAUAC
RNAcentral lists this ribosomal RNA (303 nucleotides) under uncultured bacterium. RNAcentral describes it as "partial 16S ribosomal RNA". It matches the Rfam family "Bacterial small subunit ribosomal RNA", at positions 507 to 807 of the family's 1533-position model. The record is from RNAcentral.